RNAcentral lists this ribosomal RNA (468 nucleotides) under uncultured bacterium. RNAcentral describes it as "partial 16S ribosomal RNA". It matches the Rfam family "Bacterial small subunit ribosomal RNA", at positions 28 to 507 of the family's 1533-position model. The record is from RNAcentral.
GACGAACGCUGGCGGCGUGCUUAACACAUGCAAGUCGAACGGAAAGGCCCUGCUUUUGUGGGGUGCUCGAGUGGCGAACGGGUGAGUAACACGUGAGUAACCUGCCCUUGACUUUGGGAUAACUUCAGGAAACUGGGGCUAAUACCGGAUAGGAGCUCCUGCUGCAUGGUGGGGGUUGGAAAGUUUCGGCGGUUGGGGAUGGACUCGCGGCUUAUCAGCUUGUUGGUGGGGUAGUGGCUUACCAAGGCUUUGACGGGUAGCCGGCCUGAGAGGGUGACCGGCCACAUUGGGACUGAGAUACGGCCCAGACUCCUACGGGAGGCAGCAGUGGGGAAUAUUGCACAAUGGGCGGAAGCCUGAUGCAGCAACGCCGCGUGCGGGAUGACGGCCUUCUGGUUGUAAACCGCUUUCGCCUGUGACGAAGCGUGAGUGACGGUAAUGGGUAAAGAAGCACCGGCUAACUACGUG